CUACCAUGCAGUCGAGCGAUUUACUUCGGUAAAGAGCGGCGGACGGGUGAGUAACGCGUGGGUAACCUGCCUCAUACACAUGGAUAACAUACCGAAAGGUAUGCUAAUACAGGAUAAUAUAAGAGAUUCACAUGGAUUUCUUAUCAAAGCUCCGGCGGUAUGAGAUGGACCCGCGUCUGAUUAGCUAGUUGGUAAGGUAAUGGCUUACCAAGGCGACGAUCAGUAGCCGACCUGAGAGGGUGAUCGGCCACAUUGGAACUGAGACACGGUCCAAACUCCUACGGGAGGCAGCAGUGGGGAAUAUUGCACAAUGGGCGAAAGCCUGAUGCAGCAACGCCGCGUGAGUGAUGAAGGCCUUCGGGUCGUAAAACUCUGUCCUCAAGGAAGAUAAUGACGGUACUUGAGGAGGAAGCCCCGGCUAACUACGUGCCAGCAGCCGCGGUAAUACGUAGGGGGCUAGCGUUAUCCGGAUUUACUGGGCGUAAAGGGUGCGUAGGUGGUUUUUUAAGUCAGGAGUGAAAGGCUACGGCUCAACCGUAGUAAGCUCUUGAAACUGGAAAACUUGAGUGCAGGAGAGGAAAGUGGAAUUCCUAGUGUAGCGGUGAAAUGCGUAGAUAUUAGGAGGAACACCAGUAGCGAAGGCGGCUUUCUGGACUGUAACUGACACUGAGGCACGAAAGCGUGGGGAGCAAACAGGAUUAGAUACCCUGGUAGUCCACGCCGUAACGAUGAGUACUAGUGUCGGGGGUUACCCCCCCUCGGUGCCGCAGCUAACGCAUUAAGUACUCCCGCCUGGGGGAGUACCCCUCCGCAAGGAGUGAAAC
RNAcentral lists this ribosomal RNA (824 nucleotides) under uncultured bacterium. RNAcentral describes it as "bacterial SSU rRNA". It matches the Rfam family "Bacterial small subunit ribosomal RNA", at positions 49 to 900 of the family's 1533-position model. The record is from RNAcentral.